UACGUAGGGGGCAAGCGUUGUCCGGAAUCAUUGGGCGUAAAGAGCGUGUAGGCGGCCCGGUAAGUCCGCUGUGAAAGUCCAGGGCUCAACCCUGGGAUGCCGGUGGAUACUGUCGGGCUCGAGUCCGGAAGAGGAGUGUGGAAUUCCUGGUGUAGCGGUGAAAUGCGCAGAUAUCAGGAGGAACACCAAUAGCGAAGGCAGCUCGCUGGGACGGUAUUGACGCUAAGGCGCGAAAGCGUGGGGAGCAAACAGG
This 253-nucleotide ribosomal RNA is filed under the name uncultured bacterium. RNAcentral describes it as "partial 16S ribosomal RNA". It matches the Rfam family "Bacterial small subunit ribosomal RNA", at positions 524 to 776 of the family's 1533-position model. The record is from RNAcentral.